UACGUAGGGUGCGAGCGUUAAUCGGAAUUACUGGGCGUAAAGCGUGCGCAGGCGGUUUUGUAAGACAGAUGUGAAAUCCCCGGGCUUAACCUGGGAACUGCAUUUGUGACUGCAAGACUAGAGUGCGGCAGAGGGGGGUAGAAUUCCACGUGUAGCAGUGAAAUGCGUAGAUAUGUGGAGGAAUACCGGUGGCGAAGGCGGGUCUCUGGGCCAUUACUGACACUGAGGAGCGAAAGCGUGGGGAGCAAACAGG
This 253-nucleotide ribosomal RNA is filed under the name uncultured bacterium. Its description in RNAcentral is "partial 16S ribosomal RNA". It matches the Rfam family "Bacterial small subunit ribosomal RNA", at positions 524 to 776 of the family's 1533-position model. The record is from RNAcentral.